GCAUGAAGUCGGAAUUGCUAGUAAUCGCAGAUCAGCAUGCUGCGGUGAAUACGUUCCCGGGCCUUGUACACACCGCCCGUCACACCAUGGGAGUCGGUAACACCCAAAGUUGGUAGCCUAACCGCAAGGAGGGCGCCGCCUAAGGUGGGAUUGAUGACUGGGGUGAAGUCGUAACAAGGUAUC
Molecule: ribosomal RNA, 183 nt
Filed under: uncultured bacterium
Lineage: Bacteria
Description: partial 16S ribosomal RNA
Rfam family: Bacterial small subunit ribosomal RNA
Source: RNAcentral